ACCCACGUAAAAUAUCCUAGAAGAAAUGUACCACUGAUUUGUCCUAAGGAGACCAGUUUCAGUGUCCUGCACCAAGUUUCUGAAGACUAAGGUGGUGGAGGCAGCAGUCUUAGUAGAAACAAAUCUUUUCCCACCAGGAGGAGAAGUGUUCAUAAUGCAGCUCUGUUUAUCAAUGUACAAAAUGAGAAAUAUUGCAGCUUCUCAGUCUGCCACUUCAAGAUGUUCAGAACCAUUCAUGCUUUGCCAUUACAACACCAUCAUAUCUGCUCAACCAGGAAAAUACUUCAGUGCUCUUGUGAUAAAUAUUUGGGUUGUAAGUAUUGUUAAUUUUGCAGUGCAUGGUGUAAUUGAGUACCCUUAAACAUACAUAAAUUGUCAAGCACUCCGGGUACCUCUCAGCAUCCAAUCUGAUUAUGGAAAUGCUUGUAGGUAAGAUUUUUCCUCCCCAAAAUGUAAUAAACAUAUUUGUAUGAAAUACAUGAAUAAGCAAUGUUUCGAGAUAGACAGAUUAGAACUGUUAGGGAAGACAUUACAUAAAUGUAAGGCAGAUUCCAUCUUGUAGUGCAAGAAAAGAUAUGGGCGACCUUCCAUCGCUUGCUGAUCAAUGCUUCUUGUAUUGCAAAUGCUGAAGUAAUUUUGUUCAGAAUUAUUAGCAACAAGCAGAUAGCUCAAAACUGCAAUGGCUGGUCAAAGAUAAGGAGGAGACAGGGCCUUUUCCAGAACAGACUACUGGCAGGGCUGGCCUCACCUUGUUUUUCUCAGAGAAACUAUGAUUGAUGUAAGAAUAACCCUAGACCAAAAGCCACUGCAUCACUCUACAGUUCCAGCAGCUGCUAGGAAAUAAGGUUUCCUAUUAUUCUUGAGAAUAGGAUAGAAACGAUAGUUUUCAAGCUCAGAGGAUAAUAAGAUUCCCCAAGGGCUCUCAUAACUUA
Oxyura jamaicensis (ruddy duck) is the source of this 932-nucleotide long non-coding RNA. RefSeq lists it as uncharacterized. Lineage: Eukaryota; Metazoa; Chordata; Aves; Anseriformes; Anatidae. The record is from RefSeq and is a predicted model, not a curated record. The transcript has 2 exons.